CUGAUCUCCCAAAAUGAGUCACGCCGUGUGGGUACGGGGGAUGCGCGGGGGGGAUGGUGGGAUGUCGCUCCCCUUCCUUUCUCUCCGCUCCCCUCCGCGGCCCGGUGCGGCCUCGGCCCCGGCGGAGCAGGAAUCGCUGACGCCGGCUGCCAUCUAGUGGGCAUCGAGCCGUCGGGCCGAGGGAGCCCUGGGGGGGCCACCGAGGUUGUCUGCGGCCUUUCACCCCCCUUCCCUCUUAAAAAAAAAAAAAAUUCUCUCGCUUUUUAAAUUUUUAAUAUAAAACUGCGCUGGAGAGAAUAACCCCUUCUUUCUGGUUUCUACCUCUCUCACUAGCCUGCCUUCCUGGCAGCUUCCCUUUGCCAGAGGUCUGAAAUCAGGUUGAAAGACUGCAUGUGAAAAAGAAGAAACAGACUGUAGAAACUGAACCCCCUAACAAAAAAAGACCUUAAAAAACAACACCCGCAGCCUGCCCUACUGGACACCCUACCCUGCUCCUAGCUCCCAUUAAAGUUUAUAAUCAGAUUAGAAGCUGCAUGAAAAACCUGCCGGAAGGGAGAAAAGGGAUGAAAUAGAUGACAGAAGUUUUAUUCUCUGAAAUCUGAGACUGGGAGCCGCCUGGAGAGAAGAAUCCUUCAUCAUUUCUGAGAUCAGAAUAAACGCUUGAUUUUGCCCCGAAAUAA
Long non-coding RNA from Pipra filicauda (Wire-tailed manakin), 680 nucleotides. RefSeq lists it as uncharacterized. The record is from RefSeq and is a predicted model, not a curated record. The transcript is spliced from 2 exons. NCBI's taxonomy places the organism in Eukaryota, Metazoa, Chordata, Aves, Passeriformes, Pipridae.